UACGUAGGGUGCAAGCGUUGUCCGGAUUUAUUGGGCGUAAAGAGCUCGUAGGCGGUUUGGCAAGUCGGGUGUGAAACCUCCAGGCUCAACCUGGAGACGCCACUCGAUACUGCUAUGACUUGAGUCUGGUAGGGGAUCACGGAAUUCCUGGUGUAGCGGUGAAAUGCAUAGAUAUCAGGAGGAACACCGGUGGCGAAGGCGGUGAUCUGGGCCAGUACUGACGCUGAGGAGCGAAAGCUAGGGGAGCGAACGGG
RNAcentral lists this ribosomal RNA (254 nucleotides) under uncultured bacterium. RNAcentral's name for it is "partial 16S ribosomal RNA". It matches the Rfam family "Bacterial small subunit ribosomal RNA", at positions 524 to 776 of the family's 1533-position model. The record is from RNAcentral.